Molecule: ribosomal RNA, 253 nt
Filed under: uncultured bacterium
Lineage: Bacteria
Description: partial 16S ribosomal RNA
Rfam family: Bacterial small subunit ribosomal RNA
Source: RNAcentral
GACGAACCGUGCGAACGUUAUUCGGAAUUACUGGGCUUAAAGCGUGCGUAGGCGGCUCAGCAAGUUGGGUGUGAAAUCCCCCGGCUCAACCGAGGAAUUGCGCCCAAAACUACUGGGCUAGAGUGAGUCAGAGGAGAGCGGAACUCACAGUGGAGCGGUGAAAUGCGUUGAUAUUGUGGGGAACACCGGUGGCGAAAGCGGCUCUCUGGGGCUCAACUGACGCUGAGGCACGAAAGCUAGGGGAGCAAACGGG